This 787-nucleotide long non-coding RNA is filed under the name Pan troglodytes (chimpanzee). RNAcentral describes it as "lincRNA". Lineage: Eukaryota; Metazoa; Chordata; Mammalia; Primates; Hominidae. The record is from RNAcentral.
CUCCUGCUUCAGGUGCAGAAAUACAGCUAUUUCCAGUGCCAGCUGUUGAGCCACUGCCAGCACCAGGGCCAGAUUCCCCUCCAGGGACAGCGCUGGAGCUAGAGGAAGCUCCAGAGCCCUCCUGCCGCUGCCCUGGGACUGCCCAGGACCAGCCCAGUGAGGAGCUGCCUGACUUCAUGGCACCUCCUGUAGAGCCACGGGCCUCAGCCCUGGAGCUGAAAGUGUGGUUGGAGCUGGAGGUGGCAGAGAGGGGUGACCAGCACAGCUCCAGCCAGAAGCUCCCACACUGCUCCCAGUCCUGGGCACAGUGGAAGCUAUGGAGGCAGAGACCAGGAUGUGCAACCUGGGCUCCUCUGCCUCACUGGAGAGGGACUUCUCUCAUUCAGCAGAGCAGCAGCCCUGCUGCUGAAGGGCCUGCUGCUACUGCUGCUGGGGGUGUUUGCCUGCCUGCAGGAGGUGCUGGAGAGCAAGAAAAGGAGCCUGUGAGCAGGGGUUCCAGCAGGUCCUCCUGCUCCCAGAGGUGACCUCCUCCUCCAGGAAUGGAGGUUUGCCCUCAGCUAGGCAUCUGGGCCAUUUGCCUCUAAUGUGCUGCCCAGGAUGGCCUCUUCUUGACAGGUGGACAGGGGUUGAGGGGGCCAGGGGGCAUCUCCAAAGGAAGCUCUUAAACUCAGCAGCAGCACUCCAGAAUCUCCAUGCCUGCACCUGCCCAAGGAUUUAUUCAUAGCUUAACUAAGAAUUUCAAAUUUCUACAAUAACACUGAAAUAAAGUUUGACUUUUUGAAACUUC